UGGCGGCUUGUACAGUACCGAGGGCAGUCAGAAUAUGAGGAAUACUUUGACGCACUGAUAAUGCCGCUUGCACCGGUGGCAAUGGUAUUUUACGCGAUUUAGUUGAACUUAGGCUUGGUGCUUGGGUUGUUGA
RNAcentral lists this transfer RNA (133 nucleotides) under Arsenophonus nasoniae (son-killer infecting Nasonia vitripennis). RNAcentral describes it as "transfer RNA-Leu". Lineage: Bacteria; Pseudomonadati; Pseudomonadota; Gammaproteobacteria; Enterobacterales; Morganellaceae. The record is from RNAcentral.